Molecule: long non-coding RNA, 889 nt
Organism: Rhagoletis zephyria (snowberry fruit fly)
Lineage: Eukaryota; Metazoa; Arthropoda; Insecta; Diptera; Tephritidae
Source: RefSeq, a predicted model, not a curated record
CAUUAUCUCCUACAAAGCCAAUGGGCCAGGCACAAACAAAAUUAAUAAGGUAGGAUUUAAAUGCAUCCGCAAUAGAAACGAGCUCAUCAUCAACAAUUUUCGAAGAAACCAACAUUUCCAUUUAAACCUCAGUCAGUUAGAAUAAUGCUCAGAAUUAUUAUGUAUGCAAAUAUUUUACAUAUUUCAUUCGGGCUUGAUAAAAAAUUUUAAUAUAUAGUUCUCUGCCUUAAGGAUACGUAUGUAUAUAUGUAGUUAUUCUGUCCCGCCAGAUCUAAUAAAAAUCUGAGGGUUAUUUGCUUAGUUAGUUCUGUACUAAUUAGAUUUACUAAAGGAAAAUUAUUUAACUUUGAAAUGUAGAGAGGGUAUUUCCUGCAUUUUUACCUUAAGUUCCUAGGCUUUUUUGCUUUGGCUCCAAGAGCUUAAUAACGCAGAAUUUCGGCAAUAUAUUUGCUAAUCUAACCAUUUGCAACUUUUUAAUCGGCAAACAAGUUCAACUUACGAAACAAUCAAUACAAAGUGGAUAACUACAACUAUUUACUACAGCAAAUAGGCAUACAAAACCAAUACAAAUAAUAACGCUAACUACAACUACAACUACAAAUACAACAAAAACAUUAUUAGCCCUGCUUAAAUUUGUAUUUAUUAGCUACAUAUAUUUAGAAUAAACUUAAUUUAAGCAGAAGUAAUUAUAAAUACGACAUAAAUUAACAAAUACCUAUUAAAAUAAGGGCAUAGAUUUCGGUGUAGAUGGCUAAAGCUAAACUAACUACUAUAACCAAUAAAGAAGACUGUAAAUACUAAUUUUAUAUCUCCACGCAUAAAUAACUAAGGAACUAACUAAGAGUAAAUAAAUAAAUAAAUGUCUUCAAUUACACAAAUAACAAACAAA